Molecule: transfer RNA, 65 nt
Filed under: Myotis davidii
Lineage: Eukaryota; Metazoa; Chordata; Mammalia; Chiroptera; Vespertilionidae
Rfam family: tRNA
About the family: Transfer RNA (tRNA) molecules are approximately 80 nucleotides in length. Their secondary structure includes four short double-helical elements and three loops (D, anti-codon, and T loops). Further hydrogen bonds mediate the characteristic L-shaped molecular structure. tRNAs have two regions of fundamental functional importance: the anti-codon, which is responsible for specific mRNA codon recognition, and the 3' end, to which the tRNAs corresponding amino acid is attached (by aminoacyl-tRNA synthetases). tRNAs cope with the degeneracy of the genetic code in two manners: having more than one tRNA (with a specific anti-codon) for a particular amino acid; and 'wobble' base-pairing, i.e. permitting non-standard base-pairing at the 3rd anti-codon position.
Source: Rfam by way of RNAcentral
GGCCCCAUGGUGUAAUGGUUAGCACUCUGGACUCUGAAUCCAGAAAAAAAGUGUUUUUGUCUCCA